ACCAGACCCAAAAAAAAAAAAAUGUAUAAAAAAUUAAAAGUGUAAUCCAAAUCUUCACUUAAUGAAAAUUCUGUAACUAGUGAAGAACCAAAUACAUGAAAGGACCAAUUAGAGAACUUAUAAUGUAAAUGAGAACUAAAAUAUUCAAUCAAAUGACUAGGAAAAAAGAAGCAAUCUUUCUCUCAACAGAGACCCCAAAUACAGAUCUAGAUGUCAUCAACAGAAGAGGCUAAAUAUCUGACUAACAGAAAUUUGAGUCAGAACAAAAGGAGAUGAUAGGGAGAAGAGGUGAUAAUGUCCAGAUGGAAAAGUCAAAGCUUUCGAAAUACCCUCAUCAGAGAAUGUACACAGGCCCACACCAAGUAUGGUCAGGAAGAAAACUUUCAGAUUGUCAGGAAGAAAACCUUCUAGAGGAAGGAAAAUGAGUGAAUCAGCCCCCUCAAUGGCAAAAAAAAAGUCCACAGGGCCUUCAACAUUCCAAUGGAAAAUUCACACUAGUCAAAGUAAAGGCAAUUUCAAAAAUGCAGAGAUACUAGAAAAUAGUAUGCACCAAAAAGGCACAAGAAAGAAAAAUAUGUGAUCCAACACUGGAGCUAACCUAGACCAUCUAGAAAAGAGACAAGGUGACAGCUAUAUGGCAGACUUAGGCUCUAGCAGGAAAAUAAGCAGAUAAGUAACAAAGGGUCUUGGAAAAGGUAAGGACACAGAAGGAAAAUUAGGUAGGCAGAAAAAUUGUAAGAUUAUAUGUACAGCAACAGCUGUACACAGAGAAAAUCAGAUCACAUUUUACCAGCUGUACAGGGACUGUGAUAAGACAGUUUAGAAGGAGAAGAUGAAAUGAGGUGGUGUCUGAACUUAAAUCUUCAGUUAUUAUAAAAGGAAAGCAUUUUGGACUUGCUAUCAAUUAACUUAUUCAAGGCACAAACAUCAGUCUUUCAAUCCUGAGGUUUUAAUCCAUGAGUGUUUCUUUCAAACUGUUUAAUUUAUUAAAAGAAUUUUGUA
Long non-coding RNA from Dipodomys spectabilis (banner-tailed kangaroo rat), 1002 nucleotides. RefSeq lists it as uncharacterized. The record is from RefSeq and is a predicted model, not a curated record. NCBI's taxonomy places the organism in Eukaryota, Metazoa, Chordata, Mammalia, Rodentia, Heteromyidae. The transcript has 2 exons.